AUUGAACGCUGGCGGAAUGCUUUACACAUGCAAGUCGAGCGGCAGCGCGGGGCAACCUGGCGGCGAGCGGCGAACGGGUGAGUAAUACAUCGGAACGUACCCAGUUGUGGGGGAUAGCCCGGCGAAAGCCGGAUUAAUACCGCAUACGACCUGAGGGUGAAAGGGGGGNGUCGCAAGACCUCUCGCAGUUGGAGCGGCCGAUGGCGGAUUAGCUAGUUGGUAGGGUAAAGGACCUACCAAGGCGACGAUCCGUAGCUGGUCUGAGAGGACGACCAGCCACACUGGAACUGAGACACGGACCCAACUCCUACGGGAGGCAGCAGUAAGGAAUAUUGGACAAUGGGCGCAAGCCUGAUCCAGCCAUG
Molecule: ribosomal RNA, 365 nt
Filed under: uncultured bacterium
Lineage: Bacteria
Description: bacterial SSU rRNA
Rfam family: Bacterial small subunit ribosomal RNA
Source: RNAcentral